Molecule: long non-coding RNA, 2128 nt
Organism: Cyanistes caeruleus (blue tit)
Lineage: Eukaryota; Metazoa; Chordata; Aves; Passeriformes; Paridae
Source: Ensembl
AUGGGGAAUUUGGGAAUUCUGGAUCCAGUUUUGGGGGAUUUUUGGGAAUUUUUGGUGUUUUUUGCUCCAUUUUUUGUGGAUUUUUGGGUGUUUUUUGCUCCAUUUUUUGGGAAUUUUUGUGAAUUUUUUGGGUUUCUGGCUCAAAUUUUUGGUGGAUUUUGGGGUUCUUGGAUCCAUUUUUUGGGAUUUUUUGGGAAUUUUGGGGUUUCUGACUCCAAUUUUUGGGGAAUUUUCGGGGAAUUUUCGGGGAAUUUUUGGGAAUUUUUGGGGAAUAUCCGAGGAAUUUUUGGCGAAUUUUUGGCGAAUUUUGGGGAAUUUUUGGGUUUCUGGCUCCGUUUUUUGGGGUUUUUUGGGAAUUUUGGGGUUUCUGGCUCCGUUUUUUGGGAAUUUUUGGGGUUUCUGACUCCGUUUUUUGGGAAUUUUGGGGUUUCUGACUCCAAUUUUUGGGAAUUUUGGGGUUUCUGGUUCCAUUUUUGGGGAAUUUUGGGGUUCUUGGAUCCAUUUUUGGGGGAUUUUUGGGAAUUUUGGGGGUUUUUUGCUCCGUUUUUUGUGGAUUUUUGGGAAUUUUUUGGGUUUUGGGAUCCAUUUUGGGGAGAUUUUUGGAAAUUUUGGGGUUUCUGGCUCCAAUUCUUGGGAUUUUUGGGGUUUCUGGCUCCGUUUUUUGGGGAUUUUCGCUGUUUCUGCCUCCGCUUUUUCAGGAAUUUCUCAGGAAUUCCUGGGAAUUUCGUGCCGGGGAUUUUUUUGGGAAUAACCCCUGGAAUGUCCCUUUUCAGCCGAUCUCCAGGAGGCUCCCCCGGGCUCUCCGGAGCCUCCGGAGCUGCGGCGGGAGCGGGAGCAGUUCCUGCGGCACCGGGAUCGGCCAUUCCCGACUUUCUGCCUCCGCUCCCGCAAAUCCGGGAUUGCCUGGAGCCCAAUGGGGGAAUUUGGGAAUUCUGGGAUUGCCUGGAGCCCAAUGGGGAAUUCCAGGAAUUUUGGAUCCAUUUUUGGGGAAUUUUUGGGGGAUUUUGGAUCCAUUUUUUGUGGAUUUUUUUGGGGAAUUUUUGGGGGAUUUUGGAUCCAUUUUUUGUGGAUUUUUGUGAAUUUUUUGGGUUUCUGGCUCAAAUUUUUGGGGAAUUUUGUGGUUUCUGACUCCGUUUUUUGGGAAUUUUGGGGUUUCUGGCUCCAUUUUUGGGAAUUUUUGGGGUUUUGGGAUCCAUUUUUGGGGGAUUUUCGGGAUUUUUUGGGUGUUUUUUGCUCCAUUUUUUGUGCAUUUUUGGAAAUUUUUGGGGUUUCUGGCUCCAAUUUUUGGGGUUUUUUGCUCCAUUUUUUGUGGUUUUUUGGGAAUUUUGGGGUUUCUGGCUCCAUUUUUUGGGAAUUUUGGGGUUUCUGGCUCCGUUUUUUGGGAAUUUUGUGGUUUCUGACUCCGUUUUUUGGGAAUUUUGUGGUUUCUGGCUCCAUUUUUGGGAAUUUUUGGGGUUUUGGGAUCCAUUUUUGGGGGAUUUUUGGGAACUUUGGGUGUUUUUUGCUCCAUUUUUUGUGGAUUUUUGGAAAUUUUUGGGGUUUCUGGCUCCAAUUUUUGGGAUUUUUUGGGUUCUUGGAUCCAUUUUUUGGGGAAUUUUUGGGGGAUUUUGGAUCCAUUUUUUGUGGAUUUUUGUGAAUUUUUUGGGUUUCUGGCUCAAAUUUUUGGGGAAUUUUGUGGUUUCUGACUCCGUUUUUUGGGAAUUUUGUGGUUUCUGGCUCCAUUUUUGGGAAUUUUUGGGGUUUUGGGAUCCAUUUUUGGGGGAUUUUUGGGAACUUUGGGUGUUUUUUGCUCCAUUUUUUGUGGAUUUUUGGAAAUUUUUGGGGUUUCUGGCUCCAAUUUUUGGGAUUUUUUGGGUUCUUGGAUCCAUUUUUUGGGGAAUUUUUGGGGAAUUUUUGGGUUUCUGGCUCCGUUUUUUGGGAAUUUUGGGGUUUCUGGUUCAAUUUUUGGGGAAUUUUGGGGUUCUUGGAUCCAUUUUUAGGGGAUUUUUGUGAAUUUUGGGGGUUUCUGGCUCCAAUUUUUGGGGAAUUUCGCUGUUUCUGGCUCCGUUUUUUGGGGAAUUUCUCAGGAAUUUUUAGGAAUUUCGGGACGGGGAUUUUUUUGGGAAUAACCCCUGGAAUUUCCCUUUGC